UACGGAGGGGGCAAGCGUUGUUCGGAAUUACUGGGCGUAAAGGGCGCGUAGGCGGAACAUUAAGUUAGGGGUGAAAGGCCUGGGCUCAACCUGGGAACGGCCUCUAAGACUGAUGAUCUCGAGUCCGGAAGAGGAUGGCGGAAUUCCCAGUGUAGAGGUGAAAUUCGUAGAUAUUGGGAAGAACACCGGUGGCGAAGGCGGCCAUCUGGUCCGGCACUGACGCUGAGGCGCGAAAGCGUGGGGAGCAAACAGG
Molecule: ribosomal RNA, 253 nt
Filed under: uncultured bacterium
Lineage: Bacteria
Description: partial 16S ribosomal RNA
Rfam family: Bacterial small subunit ribosomal RNA
Source: RNAcentral